AAGCCGUUACUUGCAGGGAUUGUUUCUAUGGUUUGCUACUAGAGAAGUUUCUCUCACUGUAGAGCACCCGAGACCACAAGAAUGAGACGUAGCUUUCUCUCCUGAGCGUGAAGUGGCUCUAGGUGCUACUUUUCUGUGUCUGCGUCCUGCCGCUGGUGAUUGUUCCUCUCUCCCUCUAGGAGAGUGGGAGGGAAGGAAUACAGUCUGAGUGGA
Small nucleolar RNA from Myodes glareolus (Bank vole), 213 nucleotides. RefSeq annotates it as small nucleolar RNA U3. NCBI's taxonomy places the organism in Eukaryota, Metazoa, Chordata, Mammalia, Rodentia, Cricetidae. The record is from RefSeq and is a predicted model, not a curated record.